RNAcentral lists this unclassified non-coding RNA (240 nucleotides) under soil metagenome. RNAcentral describes it as "partial contains 5.8S ribosomal RNA, internal transcribed spacer 2, and large subunit ribosomal RNA". The record is from RNAcentral.
AACCUAGCACACCUGCGGUGUGUACCUGCGGAGGGAUCAUUACAGAGUUACUACUCCAAACCCAUUGUGAACCUUACCUAUGUUCUGUUGCCUCGGCGGCGCGGUCAGCGCCCCUCUGAAAAGAGGACGAUGCCCUCCCGCCGGCAGCACCAAACUCUUGAAUUUUACAGCGGAUUACAGUUCUGAUUUAAAAACAAAAAAAACAAGUUAAAACUUUCAACAAUGGAUCUCAGAUCGGAA